UACGGGUGGCUGCAGUAGGGAAUCUUCCACAAUGGACGCAAGUCUGAUGGAGCAACGCCGCGUGAGUGAAGAAGGUCUUCGGAUCGUAAAACUCUGUUGUUAGAGAAGAACACGAGUGAGAGUAACUGUUCAUUCGAUGACGGUAUCUAACCAGCAAGUCACGGCUAACUACGUGCCAGCAGCCGCGGUAAUACGUAGGUGGCAAGCGUUGUCCGGAUUUAUUGGGCGUAAAGGGAACGCAGGCGGUCUUUUAAGUCUGAUGUGAAAGCCUUCGGCUUAACCGGAGUAGUGCAUUGGAAACUGGAAGACUUGAGUGCAGAAGAGGAGAGUGGAACUCCAUGUGUAGCGGUGAAAUGCGUAGAUAUAUGGAAGAACACCAGUGGCGAAAGCGGCUCUCUGGUCUGUAACUGACGCUGAGGUUCGAAAG
Molecule: ribosomal RNA, 427 nt
Filed under: Ligilactobacillus salivarius
Lineage: Bacteria; Bacillati; Bacillota; Bacilli; Lactobacillales; Lactobacillaceae
Description: bacterial SSU rRNA
Rfam family: Bacterial small subunit ribosomal RNA
Source: RNAcentral